CUUUACCAGUGUUGGGGCCAUCCACAUCUAGCGAGUUUGAUGCUACAAGCAAGAAUACUAGUGAUGGACAUCAUGGGAAGACGUGGAAGAAAUCUUGCUUUAAAAAUGUUUAUGUUGAAUCCUACAAAUCCAAUGAUGGCAAAAGGAACUAUUCUAAAAAGAGUUAUUGCUACUAUUGCAAGAACUUGUACAAGUCUAAGAUGUCAAAACACCUAUUUGCUGUCCAUGCAGCAGAACCAAGGGUGAGGAAAAUAAGUCAAAUGGAGCUGAAAAGCAAAAGUAAAAGAGCAGAGCUACAGAAAUUAAAGAAUGAGGGUAACUUCAAUCAUAAUGUUGAGGUUCUUCAGAAAGGAGAGGGGAAUUUGAUUGUGUACAGGAGACCAGGCGUCCCAGCAAAUGCAUAUGACUAUAUUCACUGUCGUUUUUGUAAAGGUUUUUACCAUCACAAACUUCUAUGGUCACAUGUCAAAACCUGCAGUUUCAAACCAGAUGGGGCUGAAAAUGACACUGAGAGAAACUUCAUUAGAGAAG
Dreissena polymorpha is the source of this 531-nucleotide long non-coding RNA. RefSeq lists it as uncharacterized. Lineage: Eukaryota; Metazoa; Mollusca; Bivalvia; Myida; Dreissenidae. The transcript has 4 exons. The record is from RefSeq and is a predicted model, not a curated record.